RNAcentral lists this ribosomal RNA (468 nucleotides) under uncultured bacterium. Its description in RNAcentral is "partial 16S ribosomal RNA". It matches the Rfam family "Bacterial small subunit ribosomal RNA", at positions 28 to 507 of the family's 1533-position model. The record is from RNAcentral.
GACGAACGCUGGCGGCGUGCUUAACACAUGCAAGUCGAACGGAAAGGCCCUGCUUUUGUGGGGUGCUCGAGUGGCGAACGGGUGAGUAACACGUGAGUAACCUGCCCUUGACUUUGGGAUAACUUCAGGAAACUGGGGCUAAUACCGGAUAGGAGCUCCUGCUGCACGGGGGGGGUUGGAAAGUUUCGGUGGUUGGGGAUGGACUCGCGGCUUAUCAGCUUGUUGGUGGGGUAGUGGCUUACCAAGGCUUUGACGGGUAGCCGGCCUGAGCGGGUGACCGGCCACCUUGGGACUGAGGUGCGGCCCAGACUCCUACGGGAGGCAGCAGUGGGGAAUAUUGCACAAUGGGCGGAAGCCUGAUGCAGCAACGCCGCGUGCGGGAUGACGGCCUUCGGGUUGUAAACCGCUUUCGCCUGUGACGAAGCGUGAGUGACGGUAAUGGGUAAAGAAGCACCGGCUAACUACGUG